GUGCUCACUUCAGCAACACAUCACUAAAAUCGAAAUGCUACAGAGAAAAUUGGCAUGGCCACUGUGCAAGGAUAACAGGCAAACUCAUGAAGUAUUACAUGUUUUU
Molecule: small nuclear RNA, 106 nt
Organism: Aotus nancymaae (Ma's night monkey)
Lineage: Eukaryota; Metazoa; Chordata; Mammalia; Primates; Aotidae
Source: Ensembl